RNAcentral lists this transfer RNA (71 nucleotides) under Stegodyphus mimosarum. It matches the Rfam family "tRNA". From Rfam's summary of the family: Transfer RNA (tRNA) molecules are approximately 80 nucleotides in length. Their secondary structure includes four short double-helical elements and three loops (D, anti-codon, and T loops). Further hydrogen bonds mediate the characteristic L-shaped molecular structure. tRNAs have two regions of fundamental functional importance: the anti-codon, which is responsible for specific mRNA codon recognition, and the 3' end, to which the tRNAs corresponding amino acid is attached (by aminoacyl-tRNA synthetases). tRNAs cope with the degeneracy of the genetic code in two manners: having more than one tRNA (with a specific anti-codon) for a particular amino acid; and 'wobble' base-pairing, i.e. permitting non-standard base-pairing at the 3rd anti-codon position. Lineage: Eukaryota; Metazoa; Arthropoda; Arachnida; Araneae; Eresidae. The record is from Rfam by way of RNAcentral.
UCCUUCGUGGUGUAACGGUAGCACACUCGGCGCGUAUUCGAGAGAUCCAGGUUCGAGUCCCGGCGAUGGCG